CUACGGGCCGCUGCAGUGAGGAAUAUUGGUCAAUGGGCGAAAGCCUGAACCAGCCAUCCCGCGUGUAGGAUGACAGCCCUAUGGGUUGUAAACUACUUUUAUACUCCACGAAACCUACGCUCGUGAGCGUAGCUGACGGUAGAGUAAGAAUAAGCAUCGGCUAACCCGUGCCAGCAGCCGCGGUAAUACGGAGGAUGCAGGCGUUAUCCGGAUUUAUUGGGUUUAAAGGGUGCGUAGGCGGAAUUAUAAGUCAGUGGUGAAAUCCUACAGCUUAACUGUAGAACUGCCAUUGAUACUGUAAGUCUUGAGUAUAUUUGAGGUAGGCGGAACGUGUCAUGUAGCGGUGAAAUGCUUAGAUAUGACACAGAACACCAAUUGCGUAGGCAGCUUACUAAAUUAUUACUGACGCUGAGGCACGAAAGCGUGGGGAGCGAACAGGAUUAGAUACCCGGGUAGUC
Molecule: ribosomal RNA, 458 nt
Filed under: uncultured bacterium
Lineage: Bacteria
Description: partial 16S ribosomal RNA
Rfam family: Bacterial small subunit ribosomal RNA
Source: RNAcentral